Molecule: long non-coding RNA, 3680 nt
Filed under: Homo sapiens (human)
Lineage: Eukaryota; Metazoa; Chordata; Mammalia; Primates; Hominidae
Description: HSALNT0287517
Source: RNAcentral
UUGUCACUCCAAGGGCUCAACCAGCUUCAAACUGAACCUUCAUCUGCCCAACUUGCAGGGGUGGAAACAGAGGUUCAGAGAAGGGACACUACUGGCCCAAGGUCACACAGAGAUACAUCUAUCUCUCCUAUUGAUUAUGUUUCUCUGGACAGCCCUAACUGAUACCAAGAUGAGAACAUAGAAAAGGAGUCAUUUUUCCAUUCAGGACUCUGCUUCAAAGACAUGCUCUUGAGCUGAAGAGACCUGGCUUGAAAUGCUGCCUUUAGUGACCCUAUCUGUGUUCUUGACCGAUUAAGUUGAACUUGAUGAAUGUCUGCUUACUUCUCUGUAUUAACGAGAGGAGUCACAGGAAAGACCAUUUGCAUUACUGAUGCACAUUGAGCAUGACCACAGUUCAGCAAGUACCAUUUACUGUUAUUAAUAAUAUUUAUUUUUCAUUUUAUGCUAAGAAAACUAUCGAAAACAAUUUAAGGGUUUUGAGCAGUGAAGUGAUAUAAUCUUAUCUGUUUUUUAAAAAAGAAUUCUUACUGCUAUAUGGGGAAUGCCUAAGUGGGAGGCAAGAGUGGAUGCAAGGAGAGCAAUGAAGGAGGUCGUUGCACUAACACAGAGGAGUGAUUUGGACUAGGAUGGUGGUGGAAGAGAUAAAGAGAAGUGGAAGUGUUUGAGAACAUUUAAGGAGUAACAAUUUUAUUGAUUUGACUUCUGCUUAGGGGUAUGAAAGAGUAGCUUUUGGCAGACAAACUCUCCUAUAGAGAACAACAAGAAAAGCCCGAUGAAACAUGACAAAAGGAUCAGUUUAAAGGCACUGGAGACCUAUUAAAAUGAUGAAUACUUGAGGGGCCAACAUGCAGGAAAGAAGAGAACCAUGAGAGGGUGAGGUGGCGCUACAGACACUUCCAGGUGCAGGGAAGGAGGCUGAGAAUUGAGGCUUUACCUAGAUGGCCACGGCUGGGGGUCAAACACCCAGCAGAGAUUUCCACAGUCUCACAGGGCUGGAGAGACAAACUUCGUGGUCUAAGGAGCCAAGAUUCCAAUGAGAAGUGAGAGAUGGAAGACUGUGUCUGUCACACUGUUGGCUUGCUACACAAGACCAAUAUUGAAUUAUGAAGCUGUAUGUAGUAAGAAGCUAAGGAGCCAAGAAGAAAGCCUUUUGAAAAUAGGACAAGCAAAAUAAAUAAAAGCAUUCAUAUCAGAAAGGAAGAAGUACAACUGUCUUUAUUUGCAGGUAACAUUUUCUGUGUAGGAAAUCUGAUAGAAUCUACCCAAAAGAUCUAUUAGAACUAAUAAGGGAGUUUAGAGUUUAGCAAGGUUGUAGGAUACAGGGAAGCAGAGGUUACAAAGGGGAAUUAGGAACUUUCUGGGAAUGAUGAAUACACUCGCUAAUCUUGACUGUGGUGAUGGGUUCACAGGUGUAUGCCUAUACCAACAUUUAUCAAAUGUUACACUUUAAAUAUAUGUGUGUGAAUUGUGUCUGAGUAAAGCUCUUCAAACAAAAAGAAACUAGGAGGGAAAGAAGAGGGCUGAUAGGUUGGAAGAAACAGAGGAGUCAACAUCUGAAGGCCCCAAAGAGGUUGAAAAAGGAUCACAGUAGGGAGUCUGUGUCAGAAAGUGACAUACUUGAGUCAUUGAUUCUCAAGAUGGGACAAUUUUAGGAGAUGACAAAGCCUGGGGUGUGACUGACUGGGGGCAGGUAGCUUAGGUAGAGGAAGCUUCAAGGCCUGCUGCAUAUUCUGUCUCUGUUGCCUGAGCAUGGUUCCACCCCCACCUCUACUCUUUGCCUGGCUAAAUCCUACUUAUCCUCCAUGUCCCAGCAUUCAUGUCCCUUCAUCAAGGAUACUUCCUCUGGCACCCGCACCCUCUUCUGAGGUCACUCUUUAAGACAUUCUUAUAGCACUCUUGUACUACUUGCCUUCCUUAGCACUUAACCCAGUGAUCACAUAUGCAUUUGUGCAAUUCUUUCAACACAUCAAAGCUCUGUGACAGCAGGAACCCUGGACCAUUGUGUCCCUAGCAUCUGCCACAAGGCACAGCAGGGCAUAGUUGCUGAGUAUUGAAUGUAUAACAGGAUGGCAAAUGAAAUGUUGCCUAUUUUCACAGAACUUUAGCCCAAAUCUGAGGACAAGAGGUGCUAAGUCCCUGUACGAUCUACAUUCUCAAUGGAAACAUCACACAUUGUUUGUUAUAUAAAUGAACCAAAGAUGGCCUCUGUGUAUUGGCCCCUAUGUUUUUUAUUUCUUCACUGAAGGCUGAGACCUGUUAGCUGAAAAGCUCACUGGUGCCCAACUCAUAUAUUUACACGUCUGAUUAUUAUGAUUAUUAUUUGAGACGAAGUCUCACUCUGUCGCCCAAGCUGGAGUGCAGUGGCACGGUCUCGGCUCACUUCAACCUCCACCUCCUGGGCUCAAGCGAUUCUACUGCCUCAUUCUCCCAAGUUGCUGGGAUUACAGGCACACACCACCACGCCCAGCUAAUUUUUUGUAUUUUAGUAGAGACAGGGUUUCACCACAUUGCCCUGGGUGGUCUUGAACUCCCGAGCUCAGGCAAUCUGCCCACCUCGGCCUCCCAGAAUGCUGGGAUUACAGGCAUGAGCCACCGCACCCAGCCUGAUUAUUUUUAAAACAUCCCAAAUAAGCAGUUUUUUAGCCAUUUAAAGCCUGCUUGCUUUGCAUAUGCAGAGACUCUCCAACGUGGUACCGAUUGACCUCACCCAGACACAUAAGCUCCCUCUUUGUUCCUCCUCUGCCCUGUGAGUCCCUUUGCCUUCCUUCCCUUCCAGGUGGUGGCCUCUUAGCCCAUCCAUAAACCUCUGGAUAGUCUUGUGCUGUGAGGACUUUCCCUCUUAUGCAACCCUGUCCAAGUGCCACCGAAUAAAGCUUGUUGUGUUACUGCCCCUUGCAGUCAUAUCUUUUUCCUUGAUCAGCCCUCAAAUUCCUUCAACAAACUCCCUGAGUUUACUAAAUGAUGGCAAAGCCCAUUCAGCAAACACCAUUCCAUCGAGGCUAUUGAAGAGAUUAAACAUGUCAGAGGUUAUUUUUAAAGGAAAUUUUUAGGAGCAAAGAGUGCUUUGGCUUUUCUCCUACCCUCCCCAGGAGGGAGGAUAAGGAGGCGCUGUCUCUAAAACCAAAUCAAAUGCAUCAGUUCAGGUCCUCCAGGAAGUCAAGAUGGAGUUAGAAGUGCAAAAAAAUUAUCACAGAAGAUAAAGGGGAGAGGACACAGAAAGAGGCAGGAAGAACCUUCAGACCACAGGGCGGGUCUAACACAAGUGGAAAGAGAGGGAGAAGGAAGGAUUGGAAGGAAGAGUCUCAGACAGUGGUGCAGCUUUCAAAAAGUCUUGGCCAGCCCAACGGGGAGCUCUGAUGCAAAGAUGGCCCAUAGAGGAGUCCCACACUGAGCAAAAAUGACCCUAGUACCCUGCUGUGCUAAGCCUCUGAUAGGGAGCUGCCUGGAACUAGCAUGGUCUCACCUCAAAUGCUGCCUUGGACCCUGAAGACAUUCCACCUGAAUGCUGUCAACUAAUUGCACUCCUCAUAACAGGCCCUCUCUUAAAGUGACAUCCAAGCAGUGCACUUCCAUAGCUGCCACAGGCCAUCCUUUGUGCCACACAGAUCCACUACUCCAUAGCUGCUCGGGAAGCAGUUCCUCCUUGGCUCCUGUGGGCCACUCUUUCUGAAGGUAAACUU